AGGGUUUGAUUAUGGCUCAGGACGAACGCUGGCGGCGUGCUUAACACAUGCAAGUCGAACGGAGUGCCCCAGACAGAGGUUUCGGCCAAUGAAAGGGAACACUUAGUGGCGGACUGGUGAGUAACGCGUGAGGAACCUGCCUUUCAGAGGGGGACAACAGUUGGAAACGACUGCUAAUACCGCAUGACGCAUUUGGGUGGCAUCACCUGAAUGCCAAAGAUUUAUCGCUGAAAGAUGGCCUCGCGUCUGAUUAGCUAGUUGGUGGGGUAACGGCCCACCAAGGCGACGAUCAGUAGCCGGACUGAGAGGUUGACCGGCCACAUUGGGACUGAGAUACGGCCCAG
This 344-nucleotide ribosomal RNA is filed under the name uncultured bacterium. RNAcentral's name for it is "bacterial SSU rRNA". It matches the Rfam family "Bacterial small subunit ribosomal RNA", at positions 8 to 334 of the family's 1533-position model. The record is from RNAcentral.